GAUGAACGCUAGCUACAGGCUUAACACAUGCAAGUCGAGGGGCAGCAUGACGAUAGCUUGCUAUUGUUGAUGGCGACCGGCGCACGGGUGAGUAACGCGUAUCCAACCUUCCCGUUGCUAGGGGAUAACCUUGCGAAAGUAAGACUAAUACCCGAUGUUCCGCGUUUGCCGCAUGGCAAAUUCGGCAAAGAUUUAUUGGUAAAGGAUGGCGAUGCGUCCCAUUAGUUAGUUGGCGGGUAACGGCCCACCAAGACGACGAUGGGUAGGGGUUCUGAGAGGAAGGUCCCCCACAUUGGAACUGAGACACGGUCCAAACUCCUACGGGAGGCAGCAGUGAGGAAUAUUGGUCAAUGGGCGGAAGCCUGAACCAGCCAAGUAGCGUGCAGGAAGACGGCCCUAAUGGGUUGUAAACUGCUUUCAGUCGGGAAUAACUCGUCGGUCGUGACCGACGUUGCAGGUACCGUCAUAAGAAGGACCGGCUAAAUUCCCGUG
Molecule: ribosomal RNA, 492 nt
Filed under: uncultured bacterium
Lineage: Bacteria
Description: bacterial SSU rRNA
Rfam family: Bacterial small subunit ribosomal RNA
Source: RNAcentral